Trichonephila clavipes is the source of this 73-nucleotide non-coding RNA. The record is from the annotation of a GenBank genome assembly. NCBI's taxonomy places the organism in Eukaryota, Metazoa, Arthropoda, Arachnida, Araneae, Nephilidae.
GUUCCUGUAGCGCAAUGGAUAGCGCGUUGGACACCUAAUUCAAAGGGCAUGGGUUCGAAUCGCACCGGGGAUG